RNAcentral lists this transfer RNA (90 nucleotides) under Candidatus Omnitrophota bacterium. RNAcentral's name for it is "tRNA-Ser". It matches the Rfam family "tRNA". From Rfam's summary of the family: Transfer RNA (tRNA) molecules are approximately 80 nucleotides in length. Their secondary structure includes four short double-helical elements and three loops (D, anti-codon, and T loops). The record is from RNAcentral. Lineage: Bacteria; Pseudomonadati; Candidatus Omnitrophota.
GGAGAGGUGGCUGAGCGGACGAAAGCGGCCGACUCGAAAUCGGCUUCCCGAUUCCCCGGGACGCAGGUUCAAAUCCUGCCCUCUCCGCCA